CGCGUAGGCGGCUAAUUAAGUCAAAUGUGAAAUCCCCGAGCUCAUCUUGGGAAUUGCAUUCGAUACUGGUUAGCUAGAGUGUGCCCAUAGGAUGGUAUAAUUCCAGGUGUAGCGGUGAAAUGCGUAGAGAUCUGGAGGAAUACCGAUGGCGAAGGCAGCCUUCUGGCCUAACACUGACGCUGAGGUGCGAAAGCAUGGGGAGUAAACAGGAUUAGAUACCCUGGUAGUCCGUGCCGUAAACGAUGUCUACUAGCCAUUGGGGCCUUUGAGGCUUUAGUGG
RNAcentral lists this ribosomal RNA (280 nucleotides) under Acinetobacter calcoaceticus. RNAcentral describes it as "partial 16S ribosomal RNA". It matches the Rfam family "Bacterial small subunit ribosomal RNA", at positions 568 to 846 of the family's 1533-position model. Lineage: Bacteria; Pseudomonadati; Pseudomonadota; Gammaproteobacteria; Moraxellales; Moraxellaceae. The record is from RNAcentral.